Long non-coding RNA from Notothenia coriiceps (black rockcod), 103 nucleotides. RefSeq lists it as uncharacterized. The record is from RefSeq and is a predicted model, not a curated record. Lineage: Eukaryota; Metazoa; Chordata; Actinopteri; Perciformes; Nototheniidae. The transcript has 4 exons.
CAUUUUUCCACAGGCCAACAACAGCUUCAACAAAACUAUUUCCCUCAAAGAGAAAACCAAACAUGCCCUGUUGUUGCAAGAGAGAAAGUGCAGACGGAAACAU